GAUCCUAGCUCAGGACGAACGCUGGCGGCGUGCUUGACACAUGCAAGUCGAACGAGAAUCUGCUGAAAGAGUCUUCGGACAAUGGAUGUAGAGGAAAGUGGCGGACGGGUGAGUAACGCGUGAGGAACCUGCCUUGAAGAGGGGGACAACAGUUGGAAACGACUGCUAAUACCGCAUGAUGCAUAAGGGUCGCAUGAUUCUUAUGCCAAAGAUUUAUCGCUUCAAGAUGG
RNAcentral lists this ribosomal RNA (230 nucleotides) under uncultured bacterium. RNAcentral's name for it is "partial 16S ribosomal RNA". It matches the Rfam family "Bacterial small subunit ribosomal RNA", at positions 15 to 228 of the family's 1533-position model. The record is from RNAcentral.